Molecule: ribosomal RNA, 253 nt
Filed under: uncultured bacterium
Lineage: Bacteria
Description: partial 16S ribosomal RNA
Rfam family: Bacterial small subunit ribosomal RNA
Source: RNAcentral
UACAGAGGGGGCAAGCGUUGUUCGGAAUUACUGGGCGUAAAGGGCGCGUAGGCGGCCUUCUAAGUCAGACGUGAAAUCCCUCGGCUCAACCGGGGAACUGCGUCUGAGACUGGAAGGCUUGAAUCCGGGAGAGGGAUGCGGAAUUCCAGGUGUAGCGGUGAAAUGCGUAGAUAUCUGGAGGAACACCGGUGGCGAAGGCGGCAUCCUGGACCGGCAUUGACGCUGAGGCGCGAAAGCCAGGGGAGCAAACGGG